UUCUCUUCAAAGAGAGAGGAAUUAUAAUUAAAAACAGUUAGGCAUAGUUCGCACGCAUAGCGGCAAAUAAUAAAAUGAAAAAUUAAAUGCACGGUAACAACAAAAUAUAAAAUAUUUCUUAGUGUUAUUGUAAAAACGUCUUUUUGUUAAUGUGAAAAAGAUAAAUAAAAAUAAAGUUAUUGAAAAAAGAAAUAUUGAAAUGCUUUAAUUUCGUAAAGAAAUGUGUGGAAAUAUUAAAAAAAGUUAAAUUUAUUUUUCAAAUAUUAUGAGGCAAAAAAUGUAAAAAUUAUAAAAAUAAAAAAAAAAAAAUGAGUAAUUAUUGUAAAAGUGUGUUGACUGUAUUUGUGCCUGCGUGUGUGUUAUGUGUGUGUAAAUAUUGGUAAAACAGGUUUAGAAGACUUCGUACACAGAACAACGAACGAAGUUAAGCGAGUUAUAGGUUAUCGGUAUGGAGUUCAGCGUAAGAGAGUGGAAGGGUGUGAAUAGUAAGUGUCAGUGAGCGGGCGGGUGAAAAAAGAAUAAGAGGCCGUAAUAAUAACAAAAACAAAAGCAAUAACGAAUAGGUAAUAGAAAAAAAUCAAGUAAUCAAGUUAGUAAGAAUAAAGGUAUUAAUCAAUUCGCCAUCGAAAGCGAUCGAAGACAGCGCUUGCGUUGGAGACACAAAACAAAAGCGAAAUGCAUUUAAAAUUAAAAUUAAUGUCACUUAAUUUCUGUUUUAUUUAUUUAUUAUUUUUUUUUGUUUUUUGUUCGUAAUGUUGUUUUUUGUUGUUUGUCUAAAAUGAAAAGUUGGUCUGUAGGUCAAUAGCUAGAUGAUUCCUUAAUGCAAAGUUGUUAAACCAUAAAAACGUGUGUAAAGAAAAAAUGAAAGUAAAAUU
This is a long non-coding RNA of Glossina fuscipes, 875 nucleotides long. RefSeq lists it as uncharacterized. NCBI's taxonomy places the organism in Eukaryota, Metazoa, Arthropoda, Insecta, Diptera, Glossinidae. The record is from RefSeq and is a predicted model, not a curated record. The transcript has 2 exons.